RNAcentral lists this ribosomal RNA (382 nucleotides) under uncultured eukaryote. RNAcentral's name for it is "partial 18S ribosomal RNA". It matches the Rfam family "Eukaryotic small subunit ribosomal RNA", at positions 592 to 976 of the family's 1831-position model. The record is from RNAcentral.
UGUAAGCGUAUACCAAAGUUGUUACAGUUAAAACGCUCGUAGUCGGAAUUUGGCAGUUCCGGAUGUGUGCACGUCGUGUGCGCACUUCGCGGGGAUUGCUUUUGUGGUCUUGCGUAGGAUGAGGCACUUUUAUUAGUGAACGUCCUCACGCAACCACUUUUUACUGUGAGAAAAUCAGAGUGCUCAAAGCAGGCAUUUGCCGUGAAUGUAUUAGCAUGGAAUAAUAGAAUAGGACUUGGUUCUAUUUUGUUGGUUUGUUGGGACUGAGUAAUGAUUAAGAGGGACAGUUGGGGGCAUUUGUAUUUCGGUGCUAGAGGUGAAAUUCUUAGAUUACCGAAAGACAAACUGCUGCGAAAGCGUCUGCCAAGGAUGUUUUCAUUAA